AGAUAAUAUGGGGCUCUGUGGGCCAUCAUGAGGACUUCAGCUUUUACCUCGGCAUGAGAUGGGAAACCACUGGAGAAUCUAGAGGAGAAAGGGAUGAUCUGCCCUUCAACAGGAUCAUCCAGGCUACUCCGGUGAAUAUAGACCAUAUGAGGGCAAAGAUUGGAAGCUAGGUGAGCAGUUAGAAGGCUACUGCAAUAGCUAUGUGAGAGAGAUGAACUAGGAGAGUAGCAGUGGAGAUCUGAGAUACGGCAAAGUCUAGAUAUAACACAAAGGAAUAGCCGACAGAAUUUGCUUUUGGAUUGGCUGUAUUGUAGGAGAGAAAAAAUAGGGUGCAUUUUUGGGUUGAGCAAAGAGAAGAAUGAAGAUUCCUUGUACUGAGAUGGGGAAAACUGCAGGAGGAGUGGGUCUGAAAGAGAUGAGGCAUAUCUGAGGCACAGAGAGGUUAAGUUGGGGACUGAAGUGUGGCUCCAGAAUCUAAGUUUCUAACUGCCAUGCUAUGGUAAGUGAGAUUGGUAAGUGCACAUGAGGAACUCGUGAGCCUCAAAGUCAUUCAUCAAUGCAGCAUUCAAUGAUGGCUUACAUGAAGGUAUAGAGGUAGGCUCAUCACUUUUACCCAAACUCAAAAAACUGAAUUUUUAUUAAGAAAGAAGAAAGCAUGGAAGAUGGGCACCACCCUUCAUAAAUGGUCAUUUAAUUGGUUUUGGGUGCAUCCCAGGAAAUCAAAUUUCAAAAGCUCCCUAGGUGAUUCCAAUGUGCAGUUAGUGUUAACAAAUACUGUCGUAAGAAUUUUUCUUUUUAUAUUAAUUUAAAUAUCCAUUAAAAGAUAAGAACAGUUGAAACCACCUUUUCAAAAUGAUGACAGUAAGAUAAAUCUGAUAUAGUUGGCUCCAUCUUGCUUCUGACCUCCUUUGGUCAUUCCUGGAUGUAGGCCAAGGUAACUGUGGGAGGAAUUUAGUUUAUAGUUUAACUUUGAAGCAAGGAUGAUAAUAGUCUCUCCCUAAAACUACUCCCCUCCUUAUUCAGGGGCUGAAAAUACCUUUAUCAAACUAAUAAAAGGCCGCAAGAUUAGGAUUAUGGGAGGGGCCUGAGUUCUGCUAAAAUGUGGGCAUAGUUUUCAUAAUCCCUUUCUGCUCAGGAGUCAUGUGGCCAGAGGUCACAAUGUUUGUGACUUCCCCAAUUGCUCCUAUAGAUAACAUCACAUUGUGGAACCUAAGAUUGUUCUUUUGAGAUGUUUUUCAGACUGACCCCACUGGACUCAUGACUCAUGGACUCAGCUGGUCCUGUGGCCCUACCCAGAAGUGGACUCAGCACACGAGGACCAUUUCCCACACUCCUGUGAUUUCAUCCCCAAUUAUUCAGCAGUACCCUUUCCAUAGCCCCUUGCCCACCAAGUUGUCCAUAAAAACCCUAGCCUCUGAGCUUUUGGGGAGAUGGAGUUGAGUAAUAACUCCAUCUACUGCAUGGCUGGCCUUGUGUCAAUUAAACUUUUUUCUUUACUGCAAUAACAUGGUCUCAGUGAACUGAUUUUGUUCAUGCAGGAGGCAGGAAAAGCCCCUUGGGUGAUUACACAGUGGUUCUCAAAGUAUGGACCUCCAACCAGCAGCAUCAGCAGCAUCUGGAUACUUGCUAGAAAUGGAAAUUCUCUGGCCCUAUUCCAGGCCUUCCAAGUUGGAAACUUUGUGAUGGGGCCCAGCACUCUGUGUUUUAACAAGCCCUCUAGCCUUAAGGAAAACAACUCUGAGGACUUUUGUCACGGACUUGAAAUUCUCAUCUGUGCUUGGACAAGACUCUGAAACAUACCAACUGUGUAUUUUCCUGCCUUUGGUAAAUCUGGAGCUAUUAACUGAUUCUAAAGAACAUUUGACUUAAAAAGACUAUGGAAAGCCCAAAGAAUAAAGGGACACUUGUCACUGGAUUGAAGGCAUAUUCUAAUUUAGGACAAUGUCUUGAGAUCUUUAACUUAACUACAUUUGCAAAGACCCAAUUUCCAAGUAACUGGAACAUUCGUAAGUUCAAGUUAAACAUGUCUUUUGUGGGGAGCAGCCAUUCAAUUCAUGGAACUAUCUUUAUACCUAAUUAAGCACUGUAUCAUAUAAUCCUUACAUGUGGAGUAUCGUCUGCAUUUAAGAGAUAGUUAAUUGACGCUCAAGGAAAUCUGUAUCAGCUUGUUUGCAUUUCUUCCUCACUCCUCACUUAAACCUGAUAUGAUUUCUGCUUCCUUUUUUUUUUUUUUGCUUAACUGUUAGCU
This 2248-nucleotide long non-coding RNA is filed under the name Homo sapiens (human). RNAcentral describes it as "HSALNT0348188". Lineage: Eukaryota; Metazoa; Chordata; Mammalia; Primates; Hominidae. The record is from RNAcentral.